GCUACACUAGCGCAAAAUAAAAAUUUUCUACCGCGUAAACUAGAAAACUGUUGUUGUAGAUCAUGGGAUUACCACUAGACGCGCAGAUGCGGAAGUCGAUGAAGCAUAUCGGGGUAGUGGAGUCGAUCACACGUGAGCUAGCUUAGUAACAAAGAGCCCACAACAUCGGCAACUUCAUGAAGUUUAAAGAGGCAAUGGUCAGGUGACUCUUUUACCUCUAUGAUGGUUGAAAAAUUGGAC
RNAcentral lists this long non-coding RNA (240 nucleotides) under Setaria italica (foxtail millet). Its description in RNAcentral is "long non-coding RNA (SITA_LNC006055)". The record is from RNAcentral. Lineage: Eukaryota; Viridiplantae; Streptophyta; Magnoliopsida; Poales; Poaceae.